Molecule: long non-coding RNA, 1644 nt
Filed under: Lactuca sativa (garden lettuce)
Lineage: Eukaryota; Viridiplantae; Streptophyta; Magnoliopsida; Asterales; Asteraceae
Description: long non-coding RNA (LSAT_LNC001761)
Source: RNAcentral
CUGUUUCUGUGCAUCAUGGUUGUUUUGUUAAGCUCCAGAUCAACAAUCUCAUAUGUCCAAUGUCAUACAUGAGCUAAAAAAUGGUCAACGGCAGGAGGACAUGCUUCUGUUUCAUGGUUUAUUUGAUUAUUUUAACAACAUUUGUUUAACAAAUAAUCAUUAUCAGUUGCGUUGUUGACUGAUAUCUGAAUCUGAAAUUGAAAAAUGUUUAAUACUGUUAAAAGUUGUUGGUAACAACAUUUGGGAAAGUUUAAGUUUGACCCGAAGAAAAUAAUACAUCGUUGUUUCAUGUUAUUGUUUUUGUUGAUCUUUUAGUCCUACUUUUAUAGCAAAAAAAAAAAAAAAAAAUUCGAGGAAGCCCCAACCUGUCUUAGUUUUGACUAAACUGCAUAAAUGGUCCUUGUGGUUUGCCGAAAAUUACCACUUUGGUCCAAAAAUGUUUGGAUUAAAACCACAGGUUCAAAGUUUUUCUUGUUGCAAGUUUGGUCUAAUUUACUUUAAAUUUUUUUAUAAUGAUGAUUUCACCCUUGUUUUUUUUUUUCUAGUUUUUUAUUUAUUUAAACAUUUUUAUGAUUAAAAGAAAAAUAAAAAAUACCUCUCUCUCUCUAUAUCUCUCUCUCUCUCCUACACAGUUCAUAUCUUCCACCUGGUUUUCACAUGCUGAAAAAUACGACCACCACGAUCAUCAGCCGGAGGCAUGAACAUCACUAAUGCUAUUGAUUGGUAACACCGAUCCUAUACAAUGAAUUUGUUCUUGGAUAUCAUCAUAGCUUCCUUCUCAUCGGGAUUGCAAAUUUGGGCAAUAUCCCUUUUAAAUUCGAGCAUAACCGCAUAGAGGUACCAGAUUCCACAUUAGAAAAAUCCACCAGCUUAAUAAUGUUACGAGAAGGGUCAGGAAGCUCAUCCAUAAUAGCAUCAACAACAAAAGGGACAUAAGUCGACGAACUAGAACCAAAUUUAUCAAAGUUGCACUACCCUUCAAACUCGAAAAUCGGUUUUCUGGGAAUUUCUCUUUUAUAUCAAUCUUUUUGACAAGUAAUGAAACCGGUUUAGGUUGCAAAGGGUCAAAAUGAUGGUUAGAGGCGUCAACAGGAACCAAUUUUGAGCCAAUAGUCGAUUUUGCACUUAUUUCCCCUUUCAGUGUAAAAACAUUGAGAUUCAGAUAUGGAGGAUACCCUCCAUGAAAACGAACAACAACUAAAUUCAAGGAAAUAGGAGAAAAAGGCGGUCAAGAAGGAAAGACGAAGGAACCAAAAUAUCUACCUGAAAGUCAACUACAACCCACCUUAAAUCUUCACUGUCGGAUUCUCCAUCUUGUUUUUCCAACAUCUCAAAACACAAAUUGAUUUUGAUUUCCAUCCGAGAACACAAAUUGAUUUUGAUUUUUGUUUUGAGGUAUGAUAAUGGAGGGUAACAAAAGGGAAGGGGCUGCCUUUUUUUUUUUUUUUUCUUCAGAGAGUGUGUUUAUGUUUUCGGGAAAAUGAUAGGGGUGGUGGUGAUAUUUAGAGAGAGAGAUAAAGAGAGAUAAAUGUAUUUUUUUUAUUUUUCUUUUAAUCAUAAAAAUAUUUAAAUAAAAAAACUAAAAAGGUAAAAAAAAAAAAAAGAUAAAAUCGUUAUUACAAAAAUUUUUAAAAUAAAUUAAAC